UCAUCCGUGUAGUUCCCCUAGCUGAGGCUUUGUCUGAUCCUGAUUUCGCGUUGGAACUUUUGAGGAAGAUGUUUUCUCUUCCUUCCCCAGUGGAGUGACUGCUUCUCCUUCUUCGUGGCAGAUAUUCCUUCCGUGGCUAUAAGUGAUUUUUGUUGGAUGUGCUUCUGUUUGGUAGUUGUUCCCCACAGAAUUUCACUUCACCCCCUGAUAAGAUCCCUAGUAGAUUUCUCCUCU
This 234-nucleotide long non-coding RNA is filed under the name Lathyrus oleraceus (garden pea). RNAcentral's name for it is "Pisum sativum (pea) long non-coding RNA (PSAT_LNC034624)". The record is from RNAcentral. Lineage: Eukaryota; Viridiplantae; Streptophyta; Magnoliopsida; Fabales; Fabaceae.